Molecule: ribosomal RNA, 256 nt
Filed under: uncultured bacterium
Lineage: Bacteria
Description: partial 16S ribosomal RNA
Rfam family: Bacterial small subunit ribosomal RNA
Source: RNAcentral
UACGAAGGGGGGCUAGCGUUGCUCGGAAUCACUGGGCGUAAAGGGUGCGUAGGCGGGUCUUUAAGUCAGGGGGUGAAAUCCUGGAGCUCAACUCCAGAACUGCCUUUGAUACUGAAGAUCUUGAGUUCGGGAGAGGUGAGUGGAACUGCGAGUGUAGAGGUGAAAUUCGUAGAUAUUCGCAAGAACACCAGUGGCGAAGGCGGCUCACUGGCCCGAUACUGACGCUGAGGCACGAAAGCGUGGGGAGCAAACAGGG